Molecule: transfer RNA, 73 nt
Filed under: Apaloderma vittatum (bar-tailed trogon)
Lineage: Eukaryota; Metazoa; Chordata; Aves; Trogoniformes; Trogonidae
Rfam family: tRNA
About the family: Transfer RNA (tRNA) molecules are approximately 80 nucleotides in length. Their secondary structure includes four short double-helical elements and three loops (D, anti-codon, and T loops).
Source: Rfam by way of RNAcentral
GGCCGGUUAGCUCAGCCAGUUGAGCGCAGCGCUAACAAUGCUAAGGCCGCGGGUUCGAUUCCCGUUCAGUCCC